ACUCUUACUCUUAAAAACUCCAUAACUGUUGCUAUGUUGUUAAAAUUAUGCUGUAGACGGUUUGGUAUUUUUAUAAUGAUCAUAUACCUGUAUGUUUUAUUCCUUUGAUUGUUUCGAGACUUUGUUUAGUCUCGAAGGGGGGUUAUGUUGUGUAUUCGUUAGAGUAAAACAUGUUGACAUAUGCUUAGAACAUAAUAAUAGGCUUACAUUUAUGGUGUUUGCCCUUUGGACACUCAGACAUUCUCAGAGAGUCCACCAGGUGUUUGUCUUAUUUACUUUACCUAUUUGGGGACGACCUUUGAUCUAGGGAACCAUCUCUGACCAGUUAACAGAUGGGCUCAGAAGGAAUGUUCUUGACCAGUGUGUCUUCAUGUUCAGACACAAAAACGUGUCCUUAUUUAGUCAGAAAUCCCAUGUGGGAUGUUUUUUACCUGAAGUCAUGGGUGGAACCAAACUCCCUAUAUAACUGUGUGUAAGACCCCAGCACGUCAGACUUUCACUAUUGGCUGUGUGUCUUCGGGUAUCUAGAUGCCCGUCCCGACCUGUAAUUUCUUGUAAUAAACUUUGUUACACUGAAACUACUGGGUCCUCGGAAUCCUUCCUUCAUCAUCAACAACUUCUACAACAUCAUUGACCUCUCGGCUGCAUCAAAUAUACGAUAGUAUCAUCCGUUUUGCUGAGAAGGUGAUUGGCUGUAAUCUGACAUCUCUACAGGACCUGUUUGCCUCGAGGACCCUGAGGCGUGAAGCUCAUGUCUCUGCGUCUGACUGAGGGAGGUUUUUGUACGACUGUAAAUCACUGUGUCAACACAUCUGCUCCGCUUACUACAUGGAUGCUCUUACAGUAAUAAACUGCUGCAUCUUCACUCUGAACUCCACUGAUGGUCAAAGAGAAGUCAGAGCUGCUUCCACUGCCACUGAACCGAGCAGGUAUUCCUGAUUGUCUAUUGCUCACCCUGUAUAUUAGGAGCCGUGGAGCCUGUCCAGGUUUCUGCUGGUACCAGUACAUACAAUCAACAGAACUACAUUUUGCAACACUGGGGUUGGUGUUACAGGUCAGUGUGACAGUGGAUCCUGGAGUAAAUGUCACGACUGGAGGCUGAGUCACAGUCACCUGGCCGCUGCAUCCUGCACACAAACACAAAUCAUACAUUAAUCAGCGGAGGUGAAGAGAGAGAACAGGCAGCGCAUCACGUCUGAAAUGUUGCUGAGUGACUGAACCUGUGAAGCUGCAGCAGGCCAGCGUCCAGAUGAGGAGGGUGAUGAGAGUCAUGGUGGUUGUGGUCGACUGACGGGUCUGAGUCCUGCAGAGUUGGAGUCACAGGACUAUAAAGCUUCUCAGUUCAGUGGAGGAUCAGCUGACGAUGCAAAGCCUCCUCUCUAUGGAAAUGAUUCCUCUGCUCUGAGCGGACUGAAGGUGA
Molecule: long non-coding RNA, 1420 nt
Organism: Pleuronectes platessa (European plaice)
Lineage: Eukaryota; Metazoa; Chordata; Actinopteri; Pleuronectiformes; Pleuronectidae
Exons: 2
Source: RefSeq, a predicted model, not a curated record